RNAcentral lists this ribosomal RNA (1392 nucleotides) under uncultured bacterium. Its description in RNAcentral is "bacterial SSU rRNA". It matches the Rfam family "Bacterial small subunit ribosomal RNA". The record is from RNAcentral.
GAAUUCGCCCUUAGAGUUUGAUCCUGGCUCAGGACGAACGCUGGCGGCGCGCCUAACACAUGCAAGUCGAACGAGCGAGAGAGAGCUUGCUUUCUCGAGCGAGUGGCGAACGGGUGAGUAACGCGUGAGGAACCUGCCUCAAAGAGGGGGACAACAGUUGGAAACGACUGCUAAUACCGCAUAAGCCCACGACCUGGCAUCGGGUAGAGGGAAAAGGAGCAAUCCGCUUUGAGAUGGCCUCGCGUCCGAUUAGCUAGUUGGUGAGGUAACGGCCCACCAAGGCGACGAUCGGUAGCCGGACUGAGAGGUUGAACGGCCACAUUGGGACUGAGACACGGCCCAGACUCCUACGGGAGGCAGCAGUGGGGAAUAUUGCACAAUGGGGGAAACCCUGAUGCAGCGACGCCGCGUGGAGGAAGAAGGUCUUCGGAUUGUAAACUCCUGUUGUUGAGGAAGAUAAUGACGGUACUCAACAAGGAAGUGACGGCUAACUACGUGCCAGCAGCCGCGGUAAAACGUAGGUCACAAGCGUUGUCCGGAAUUACUGGGUGUAAAGGGAGCGCAGGCGGGAAGACAAGUUGGAAGUGAAAUCCAUGGGCUCAACCCAUGAACUGCUUUCAAAACUGUUUUUCUUGAGUAGUGCAGAGGUAGGCGGAAUUCCCGGUGUAGCGGUGGAAUGCGUAGAUAUUAGGAGGAACACCAGUGGCGAAGGCGGCUUACUGAACGAUAACUGACGCUGAGGCUCGAAAGCGUGGGGAGCAAACAGGAUUAGAUACCCUGGUAGUCCACACUGUAAACGAUGAAUACUAGGUGUGCGGGGACUGACCCCCUGCGUGCCGCAGUUAACACAAUAAGUAUUCCACCUGGGGAGUACGAUCGCAAGGUUGAAACUCAAAGGAAUUGACGGGGGCCCGCACAAGCGGUGGAUUAUGUGGUUUAAUUCGAAGCAACGCGAAGAACCUUACCAGGGUUUGACAUCCUGCUAACGAAGUAGAGAUACAUUAGGUGCCCUUCGGGGAAAGCAGAGACAGGUGGUGCAUGGUUGUCGUCAGCUCGUGUCGUGAGAUGUUGGGUUAAGUCCCGCAACGAGCGCAACCCUUAUCCUCAGUAGCCAGCACUUCGGGUGGGCACUCUGUGGAGACUGCCAGGGACAACCUGGAGGAAGGUGGGGAUGACGUCAAAUCAUCAUGCCCCUUAUGGCCUGGGCUACACACGUGCUACAAUGGCGUAAACAAAGGGAAGCAGAGUCGUGAGGCCGAGCAAAUCCCAAAAAUAACGUCUCAGUUCGGAUUGUAGUCUGCAACUCGACUACAUGAAGCUGGAAUCGCUAGUAAUCGCGAAUCAGAAUGUCGCGGUGAAUACGUUCCCGGGUCUUGUACUCACCGCCCGUCA